RNAcentral lists this ribosomal RNA (506 nucleotides) under uncultured bacterium. RNAcentral describes it as "partial 16S ribosomal RNA". It matches the Rfam family "Bacterial small subunit ribosomal RNA", at positions 30 to 523 of the family's 1533-position model. The record is from RNAcentral.
AUUGAACGCUGGCGGCAGGCCUAACACAUGCAAGUCGAGCGGCAGCGGAAAGUAGCUUGCUACUUUGCCGGCGAGCGGCGGACGGGUGAGUAAUGUCUGGGAAACUGCCUGAUGGAGGGGGAUAACUACUGGAAACGGUAGCUAAUACCGCAUAACGUCGCAAGACCAAAGAGGGGGACCUUCGGGCCUCUUGCCAUCAGAUGUGCCCAGAUGGGAUUAGCUAGUAGGUGGGGUAACGGCUCACCUAGGCGACGAUCCCUAGCUGGUCUGAGAGGAUGACCAGCCACACUGGAACUGAGACACGGUCCAGACUCCUACGGGAGGCAGCAGUGGGGAAUAUUGCACAAUGGGCGCAAGCCUGAUGCAGCCAUGCCGCGUGUAUGAAGAAGGCCUUCGGGUUGUAAAGUACUUUCAGCGGGGAGGAAGGCGUUGUGGUUAAUAACCGCAGCGAUUGACGUUACUCGCAGAAGAAGCACCGGCUAACUCCGUGCCAGCAGCCGCGGUAA